This 638-nucleotide ribosomal RNA is filed under the name Papiliotrema terrestris. Its description in RNAcentral is "eukaryotic LSU rRNA". It matches the Rfam family "Eukaryotic large subunit ribosomal RNA", at positions 38 to 663 of the family's 3401-position model. The record is from RNAcentral. Lineage: Eukaryota; Fungi; Basidiomycota; Tremellomycetes; Tremellales; Rhynchogastremaceae.
GCAUAUCAAAUAAGCGGAGGAAAAGAAACUAACAAGGAUUCCCCUAGUAACGGCGAGUGAACCGGGAAGAGCUCAAAUUUGAAAUCUGGCGUGCUCAGUGCGUCCGAGUUGUAAUCUAUAGAGGCGUUUUCCGUGCCGGACUGUGUCUAAGUCCCUUGGAACAGGGUAUCAAAGAGGGUGAUAAUCCCGUACUUGACACAAUGACCGGUGCUCUGUGAUACGUCUUCUACGAGUCGAGUUGUUUGGGAAUGCAGCUCAAAAUGGGUGGUGAGUUCCAUCUAAAGCUAAAUAUUGGCGAGAGACCGAUAGCGAACAAGUACCGUGAGGGAAAGAUGAAAAGCACUUUGGAAAGAGAGUUAAACAGUACGUGAAAUUGUUGAAAGGGAAACGAUUGAAGUCAGUCGUGACUGAGAGGCUCAGCCGGUUCUGCCGGUGUAUUCCCCUCAGUCGGGUCAACAUCAGUUUUGUUCGGUGGAUAAGGGCAGCUGGAAGGUGGCACCUCCGGGUGUGUUAUAGCCAGCUGUCGCAUACAUCGAAUGAGACUGAGGAAUGCAGCUCGCCUUUAUGGCCGGGGUUCGCCCACGUCCGAGCUUAGGAUGUUGACAUAAUGGCUUUAAACGACCCGUCUUGAAAACACG